RNAcentral lists this ribosomal RNA (672 nucleotides) under Vairimorpha ceranae. RNAcentral describes it as "SSU rRNA". It matches the Rfam family "Microsporidia small subunit ribosomal RNA", at positions 357 to 1067 of the family's 1311-position model. The record is from RNAcentral. Lineage: Eukaryota; Fungi; Microsporidia; Nosematidae.
GUAUAUGAGGUGAUUAAUUGGAGGGCAAAUCAAGUGCCAGCAGCCGCGGUAAUACUUGUUCCAAGAGUGUGUAUGAUGAUUGAUGCAGUUAAAAAGUCCGUAGUUUAUUUUUUAAGAAGCAAUAUGAGGUGUACUGUAUAGUUGGGAGAAAGAUGAAAUGUGACGACCCUGACUGGACGAACAGAAGCGAAAGCUGUACACUUGUAUGUAUUUUUUGAACAAGGACGUAAGCUGGAGGAGCGAAGAUGAUUAGAUACCAUUGUAGUUCCAGCAGUAAACUAUGCCGACGAUGUGAUAUGGAAAUGUUAAUUUGUAUUACAUAAUAGAAAUUUGAGUUUUUUGGCUCUGGGGAUAGUAUGAUCGCAAGAUUGAAAAUUAAAGAAAUUGACGGAAGAAUACCACAAGGAGUGGAUUGUGCGGCUUAAUUUGACUCAACGCGAGGUAACUUACCAAUAUUUUAUUAUUUUGAGAGAACGGUUUUUGUUUGAGAAUGAUAAUAGUGGUGCAUGGCCGUUUUCAAUGGAUGCUGUGAAGUUUUGAUUAAUUUCAACAAGACGUGAGACCCUUAUUUUUUAUUAAAGACUGACACAAUCAGUGUAGGAAGGAAAGGAUUAAAACAGGUCCGUUAUGCCCUCUGACAUUUUGGGCUGCACGCGCAAUACAAUAGAUAUA